AGGUCAGGAAAGCCUGAACUUUCUCAUCCAACACCCGUUCAAGUCGGAGGAUGCUGAUUAAUUCAUGAUGGAAAGGUAUCAAUUUCACAGCCCAGACCUCUACAUUCUUGAAAUGCUCUUCUCAUGGGAGACAUUAAAUAAGCUUUGAAUUAACUGAAUGUACAGGGUGUACCAUGAACAAUUCUGACAUGUGAUUUAAUCUAUGUGGGACUACAUUUUAAAUACAUUUGGGAAGGAUUGAACAAUGAAGUGGAGCCCAUCAAUAUUGGUACUGAAAAUGAGACAUAAGCCCUUAAGUAAAAGUGCCAUCAAAUGAUUUCUCAGAAAUUAUAAAGAAACAAAAGGACCAUAAACAAGAUAAGGUGGCAUGAGGAAACAUUACAAGUACCUUUCAGAGCUGACUGGCAAAGAAACUCCUGAGGUGACGGUUCUACCCCAAUAUUACUUCUUCGAAGAGCAACCUAACUGACCUUGUAUUGAAGACAGCGUAACCCCCAAGAGGAAAGGAGCUUGGAGCCCUGAAUCAGAGUAGAAGACAGGCUGAAUGAAUACCAGCCUUGGACUGUUGUGUGAAUGAAAAACAAGUUUUGAGAUUUGUGUGGUUUAUUUAUUAUAGUUACUGUUAUUAUUAAAGUUUUUCACUGCUUUACUCU
Molecule: long non-coding RNA, 653 nt
Filed under: Homo sapiens (human)
Lineage: Eukaryota; Metazoa; Chordata; Mammalia; Primates; Hominidae
Description: non-protein coding SATB1-AS1:72
Source: RNAcentral